RNAcentral lists this transfer RNA (67 nucleotides) under Mesopedinella arctica. It matches the Rfam family "tRNA". From Rfam's summary of the family: Transfer RNA (tRNA) molecules are approximately 80 nucleotides in length. Their secondary structure includes four short double-helical elements and three loops (D, anti-codon, and T loops). Further hydrogen bonds mediate the characteristic L-shaped molecular structure. tRNAs have two regions of fundamental functional importance: the anti-codon, which is responsible for specific mRNA codon recognition, and the 3' end, to which the tRNAs corresponding amino acid is attached (by aminoacyl-tRNA synthetases). tRNAs cope with the degeneracy of the genetic code in two manners: having more than one tRNA (with a specific anti-codon) for a particular amino acid; and 'wobble' base-pairing, i.e. permitting non-standard base-pairing at the 3rd anti-codon position. The record is from RNAcentral. Lineage: Eukaryota; Dictyochophyceae; Pedinellales.
CGGGUAUAGCUCAGUGGUAGAGCGCGACCUUGCCAAGGUCGAUGUCGCGCGUUCGAAUCGCGUUACC